Molecule: small nucleolar RNA, 138 nt
Filed under: Apaloderma vittatum (bar-tailed trogon)
Lineage: Eukaryota; Metazoa; Chordata; Aves; Trogoniformes; Trogonidae
Description: Small nucleolar RNA SNORA31
Rfam family: Small nucleolar RNA SNORA31
About the family: ACA31 (SNORA31) belongs to the H/ACA class of snoRNAs which are thought to guide the sites of modification of uridines to pseudouridines. ACA31 is predicted to guide the pseudouridylation of U3713 in 28S rRNA and U218 in 18S rRNA. This family includes the mouse homologue snoMBI-161.
Source: Rfam by way of RNAcentral
CAGCAUCCUCUGAUAGACCAUGAGCACUUCUGCUGUUGCUCUCUGGUUUGCACUUAGAUGCAAAAAUAACUUCCUUGCGCUUUCUGCCUGCCUGCCUGCCUGCCUGUGGCAGCUCAGAUUGAAUUGGGGAAUACACAG